GGGGACGUAGCUCAGUUGGCUAGAGCACCUGCUUUGCAAGCAGGGGGUCGUGGGUUCGAUUCCCAUCGUCUCCAC
RNAcentral lists this transfer RNA (75 nucleotides) under Actinomycetes bacterium. RNAcentral's name for it is "tRNA-Ala". It matches the Rfam family "tRNA". Rfam says of the family: Transfer RNA (tRNA) molecules are approximately 80 nucleotides in length. Their secondary structure includes four short double-helical elements and three loops (D, anti-codon, and T loops). Lineage: Bacteria; Bacillati; Actinomycetota; Actinomycetes. RNAcentral also lists the same sequence under 1 other name. The record is from RNAcentral.